Molecule: ribosomal RNA, 433 nt
Filed under: uncultured bacterium
Lineage: Bacteria
Description: partial 16S ribosomal RNA
Rfam family: Bacterial small subunit ribosomal RNA
Source: RNAcentral
AACGAACGCUGGCGGCAUGCCUAAUACAUGCAAGUCGAACGAGAUCUUCGGAUCUAGUGGCGCACGGGUGCGUAACGCGUGGGAAUCUGCCCUUGGGUUCGGAAUAACUUCUGGAAACGGAAGCUAAUACCGGAUGAUGACGUAAGUCCAAAGAUUUAUCGCCCAAGGAUGAGCCCGCGUAGGAUUAGGUAGUUGGUGAGGUAAAGGCUCACCAAGCCGACGAUCCUUAGCUGGUCUGAGAGGAUGAUCAGCUACACUGGGACUGAGACACGGCCCAGACUCCUACGGGAGGCAGCAGUAGGGAAUAUUGGACAAUGGGCGAAAGCCUGAUCCAGCAAUGCCGCGUGAGUGAUGAAGGCCUUAGGGUUGUAAAGCUCUUUUACCCGGGAUGAUAAUGACAGUACCGGGAGAAUAAGCUCCGGCUAACUCCGUG